GUUUGACCUUUUUCAAAAUAAAACUUUGGAGGGGAGAAAAAAGAACUGUCAUGAUUUUUAUUCAGGAUAUACAUGCUAGGCUUUUGGGUGCUUUCCUGAAUGGAAUCUUUUGACACUAUGACCAGCUGUAUUGUGAACGGGAUAAUUUUUAAAAAGAUGGAGUUAAAGUAGAGAUGACGUCCCUUACCCAGAGGAAAACGAUGAGUUUCCACUUUGCUGCUAAUGGAAUCGCUAAGCACCCUGUGGCGUGUCGGUGUAUUUGUGAAUGGAGCCUCACUUUGCGCAACGACGGAGUUGCAGAUCCCAUUUAGUGAAUCCUGCUUGCUCUACCUUCAGGAUAUAUCCAGCUGCUGCCCCUGCCAUCCUGUCCAGGCCAUUGCCACCUCUUGUCUGAAUCAUCACAGAGCCUCUAACACGUCUCCCUUCAUCCUUUUGCCCCUGACACGGUGGAGAAGAGACCAAACAGCUGCCAGAGAUCCUCAGCAUGGCGCCCUGGGGCACCGAGGACGCGUGUGCUGCUGUGAAAGCAGAAGCCAGAAUUCUCAUGAUGACUUCAGGGCCCCCUGUGACUCGGCCCCUACGUCCUUCUCUUCAUGCCCUCGCACACUUCUCACCUCUCAUUCUAUUCCAGCCACAGGGGUCUGGCUUCCGUUCCCUGAACUCUCAUGCCCUGAGGCCUUUGCACUCGCUGUCCCUUCUGCCCACACUGCUCUUCUCUAGGGUAUCUGACAGCUCACUCCCUCACCUCUUUCAGGGCUUUCAAAUGCCACCUUCCUCAUGGAGCCUUCCUGGUCAUUCUAUUCAUAAUUUCUCCCCUAAUGGAAACCCUUCACCCCACUAUGUCCCUGAUUUCAUUUUCUCUUUAGAACUUAUGAUGAUCUGACAUACAUAUUUAUAUUAUAUAUUUUAUAU
This is a long non-coding RNA of Bos taurus (domestic cattle), 912 nucleotides long. NCBI's taxonomy places the organism in Eukaryota, Metazoa, Chordata, Mammalia, Artiodactyla, Bovidae. The record is from Ensembl.